CGGCGUGCCUAACACAUGCAAGUCGAACGAGAUCCAUGGGAGCUUGCUCCCGGAAGAUCUAGUGGCGAACGGGUGAGUAACACGUGAGAAACCUGCCCUGGAGUGGGGAAUAACGUCGGGGAAACUCGAGCUAAUACCGCAUACCCUCGGAUGGUCGCAUGGCCGACCGAGGAAAGAUUUAUCGCUCUAGGAGGGUCUCGCGGCCUAUCAGCUAGUUGGUGGGGUAACGGCCUACCAAGGCAACGACGGGUAGCUGGUUUGAGAGAACGAUCAGCCACACUGGGACUGAGACACGGCCCAGACUCCUACGGGAGGCAGCAGUGGGGAAUCUUGCGCAAUGGGCGAAAGCCUGACGCAGCAACGCCGCGUGCGGGAUGACGGCCUUCGUGGUUGUAAACCGCUUUCAGCAGGGACGAAAAUGACGGUACCUGCAGAAGAAGCCCCGGCUAACUACGUG
This 457-nucleotide ribosomal RNA is filed under the name uncultured bacterium. RNAcentral describes it as "bacterial SSU rRNA". It matches the Rfam family "Bacterial small subunit ribosomal RNA", at positions 40 to 507 of the family's 1533-position model. The record is from RNAcentral.